UGUGCAUCGGGUUCAAAUGCUCAGACUCCUGUAGUGGCUGCUCAUGCACCAUGGAUGCUUGCGCAUGUGCUGUGCUGUUUA
Molecule: microRNA precursor, 81 nt
Organism: Loxodonta africana (African savanna elephant)
Lineage: Eukaryota; Metazoa; Chordata; Mammalia; Proboscidea; Elephantidae
Gene: MIR105-2
Product: microRNA 105-2
Source: Ensembl